This 306-nucleotide long non-coding RNA is filed under the name Physcomitrium patens. RNAcentral's name for it is "long non-coding RNA (PPAT_LNC010409)". Lineage: Eukaryota; Viridiplantae; Streptophyta; Bryopsida; Funariales; Funariaceae. The record is from RNAcentral.
ACAAUACUUUCAUAUUCUUAUCCGUUCAUCUUCCUUUUGCUCUCUUUGUGAUUUAUAUACAUUCAAUUACUGAUCUCUAGCUUAUCUAUUGUAUUCAGUUUCUCAAUUCAUCACAUAAAAUUCAAUAUCUCGGCUUACGACUGUCACAGUUUGGCACUUUAGACUAACUUCUCAAUAUUCAAAAACUAUCCAUUACUAGUCAACAACAAAGAAACAAAAAGAGGUAGCACCAAGCUUGCCCUGACUUAUGACUAUCACAGUGUGGCCCCAAUCCCCCUUUUUUUAACCUCUUUAUCCUACCAAAAG